Molecule: long non-coding RNA, 268 nt
Filed under: Brassica napus (rape)
Lineage: Eukaryota; Viridiplantae; Streptophyta; Magnoliopsida; Brassicales; Brassicaceae
Description: long non-coding RNA (BNAP_LNC005567)
Source: RNAcentral
AAUCAGACAAAACUCAAAAAGAUUCAAUUUUUAAGCAAACCCAGUUCGUGAAAAGCAAGAUGAAAGUUUUUUUAAGAAGCUUACCGGGUUUCAGAUUAGGGAAGGAAGACAAAGAAGAAGAAUAGAUCUGUCCCUUUGGUUGCUGCUAAUGUCGACUGGUGGGCUUUUUGAUAGUUGACAAUGUCGUGAAGAUUACAUUCAUUUAACGGGUUAUGUUCAGUAAAUCGCUCUUCAAAAUUUGAAUUUUCGGAGACAUUGUGAGUGGGAA